Molecule: long non-coding RNA, 1158 nt
Filed under: Mus spicilegus (steppe mouse)
Lineage: Eukaryota; Metazoa; Chordata; Mammalia; Rodentia; Muridae
Description: lncRNA (ENSMSIG00000012207.1)
Source: RNAcentral
CCGCAGUCCAGCAGGUCUGGGAGAGGGUGGAUGCCAGACUGUGCGUUAAUGUUAAUGAUGAGCGCAGUGAAAAUACCAGCCGCCGCCACCCCUUGCACACAGAAGCGCUCUGAGUCAGCAUCAGAUGCUAGCCCGACUCUCUCCGUGUGUCUGUGUGCCUGUGUGCGCGCGCGUGCUCGCUCGGGCAUCCGUGUCUAGCCGAGGGGAGGGGGUGGCGUGUGAGUGCGUGGAGGGUAAAAGCCAGUCAGUCAGUGAGAAGCAAAGGUACGUUGGAGAGCAACUAAAAUCUGACUGAUUUCCAUCUUUGGAGCAUCAGAUGUAUUCCCUAAGGAGGAUGGGUCUCCGUGAUGGGGGUGGUAUAAUUAUGUUAAUGUCAUAUUUAUGGAGGGAUCAACCACUUCUGAAGAACCAGAUUCCACUUCUGUGGCCAGGAGUUUUAUGCUGUGCUAAGUGUGAUUGUUUCGCCCUGCAUUCUGUGCUCCUAAACCUUGGAUAAUUCCUAAAGUACAGAUUCUGCUCUUCCACAACAAGGCGAAAAGAUGGGAGAGAAUUUGAUGAAUAGUCAGGAUUGAGACUGUGUAUUUUCAAAAGUAUUGAACUUUAUAAUGUAAUUAUUCAAAGUAAAGGAUCUUUUUUGUUUUCUUACUAUGUUGCCAGGAUUUUAAGUUAAAGCUUGUUAGGUGGUCUUGUUCAAAUAACUAUGAAGUGUGCAUGAAAAUAUUUGCUGUCUGAAUGGUUUGCAUAUUUAAAGAGAAAAAUCAACAUUAAUAGGUAUUAAAUUAUGACAUAUUCAAAGUUUUUGUUUAAAUCUUAUCUGUAAUAAUUUAAAUGAGAGUUUGAAGUGUUGUAUAUCCUGGGCCCACAGUAACAGUUGUGAUAUAUAAAACUUCAAUAGAAGCAAAAUAUCAAUUAGGGCCCCAUUAACUGGCAUAUAAUCCUUUUUUAGUGUAAUAGAAGUGGGUGUUGCUGUAAAAAUCUGCAAGCAGCAGAUUUUAACCCAUUUUUGUCUCCUUCUUUGGAUAGAAUGGGGUGAUUCUUAAAUGUCCAUUGUCUGCUUUGUUUUUCAUGCCCCACAUUACUGUAAGUUCUGAUCUAUAGGUGGCCGUACUGAUUGUCCAGCUCAUCUUUGACUUUCAUGUGUUACUUAUGUUUCUGUCU